RNAcentral lists this ribosomal RNA (432 nucleotides) under uncultured bacterium. Its description in RNAcentral is "partial 16S ribosomal RNA". It matches the Rfam family "Bacterial small subunit ribosomal RNA", at positions 29 to 506 of the family's 1533-position model. The record is from RNAcentral.
AACGAACGCUGGCGGCAUGCCUAACACAUGCAAGUCGAACGAGACCUUCGGGUCUAGUGGCGCACGGGUGCGUAACGCGUGGGAACCUGCCCUUAGGUUCGGAAUAACUCCCCGAAAGGGGUGCUAAUACCGGAUAAUGUCUUCGGACCAAAGAUUUAUCGCCUUUGGAUGGGCCCGCGUUGGAUUAGCUAGUUGGUAGGGUAAAAGCCUACCAAGGCGACGAUCCAUAGCUGGUCUGAGAGGAUGAUCAGCCACACUGGGACUGAGACACGGCCCAGACCCCUGCGGGGGGCAGCAGUGGGGAAAUUUGGACAAUGGGCGAAAGCCUGAUCCCGCAAUGCCGGGUGAGUGAUGAAGGCCUUGGGGUUGAAAAGCUUUUUUCCCCGGGAUGAUAAUGACAGUACCGGGAAAAAAAGCCCCGGCUACCCCCGU